RNAcentral lists this small nucleolar RNA (124 nucleotides) under Ipomoea nil (Japanese morning glory). Its description in RNAcentral is "small nucleolar RNA snoR135". It matches the Rfam family "small nucleolar RNA snoR135", at positions 1 to 120 of the family's 143-position model. The record is from Rfam by way of RNAcentral. Lineage: Eukaryota; Viridiplantae; Streptophyta; Magnoliopsida; Solanales; Convolvulaceae.
UAAGCAAAGGAUGUGUGUAUCGUCUUUGUGCCUUUGCACAAAUGCACUUUUAUCGGAAGAGUUCUCUGCAAAACUAUAUAUUGAGGAAGAUGGACAGUUGUGUUUCAUCAUCUUCCAACCCUUG